AGAGUUUGAUCAUGGCUCAGAACGUACGCUGGCGGCACGCCUAACACAUGCAAGUCGAACGAAGUAGCAAUACUUAGUGGCAGACGGGUGAGUUGGUGUGGGUAUCUACCCUUUGGCCUGCAAUAACACGAGGAAACUUGUGCUAAUACCGGAUAAGUCUUUACGGAGAAAGCUUUAUGCACCAUUGGAUGAGCCCGCACUUGAUUAGUUUGUUGGUAGGGUAAUGGCCUACCAAGACUAUGAUCAAUAGCUGAUUUGAGAGGAUGAUCAGCCACAUUGGGACUGAGACACGGCCCAAACUCCUACGGGAGGCAACAGUGGGGAAUCUUGCACAAUGGAGGAAACUCUGAUGCAGCGAUGCCGCGUGAGUGAACAAGGCCCUUGGGUUGUAAAGCUCUUUCGUCGGGGAAGAAAAUGACUGUACCCGAAUAAGAAGGUCCGGCUAACUUCGUGCCAUCAGCCGCGGUAAUACGAAGGGACCUACCGUAGUUCGGAAUUACUGGGCUUAAAGAGUUCGUAGGUGGUUGAAAAAGUUGGUGGUGAAAUCCCCAGAGCUUAACUCUGGAACUGCCAUCAAAACUUUUCAGCUAGAGUAUGAUAGAGGAAAGCAGAAUUUCUAGUGUAGAGGUGAAAAUUCGUAGAUAUUAGAAAGAAUACCAAUUGCGAAGGCAGCUUUCUGGAUCAUUACUGACACUGAGGAACGAAAGCAUGGGUAGCGAAGAGGAUUAGAUACCCUCGUAGUCCAUGCCGUAAACGAUGUGUGUUAGACGUUGGAAAUUUAUUUUCAGUGUCGCAGGGAAACCGAUAAACUCACCGCCUGGUGAGUACGACCGCAAGGUUAAAACUCAAAUGAAUUGACGGGGACCCGCACAAGUAGUGGAGCAUGUGGUUUAAUUCGAAGAUACGCGCAGAACCUUACCAACACUUGACAUGUUCGUCGCGACUCUAAGAGAUUAGAGUUUUCGGUUCGGCCGGACGAAACACAGGUGUUGCAUGGCUGUCGUCAGCUCGUGUCGUGAGAUGUUGGGUUAAGUCCCGCAACGAGCGCAACCCUCACUUUUAGUUGCCAUCAUUAAGUUGGGCACUCUGAAAGAACUGCCAGUGAUAAGCUGGAGGAAGGUGGGGAUGACGUCAAGUCCUCAUGGCCCUUACGUGUUGGGCUACACACGUGCUACAAUGGCAUCUACAACAGGAAGCAAAACGGCAACGUUAAGCAGAUCCCGAAAAGAUGCCUCAGUUCGGAUUGCACUCUGCAACUCGAGUGCAUGAAGCUGGAAUUACUAGUAAUCGUGGAUCAGCGUGCCCCGGUGAAUGCGUUCCCGGCUCUUGUACACACCGCCCGUCACACCAUGGGAGUUGGUUCUACCUUAAGGCAAGGUUUCAAACCCUUGACCACGGUAUAGUCAGCGACUGGGGUGAAGUCGUAACAAGGUA
RNAcentral lists this ribosomal RNA (1434 nucleotides) under uncultured bacterium. RNAcentral's name for it is "bacterial SSU rRNA". It matches the Rfam family "Bacterial small subunit ribosomal RNA". The record is from RNAcentral.